RNAcentral lists this Y RNA (99 nucleotides) under Microcebus murinus (gray mouse lemur). RNAcentral's name for it is "Y RNA (ENSMICG00000037463.2)". It matches the Rfam family "Y RNA". From Rfam's summary of the family: Y RNAs are components of the Ro ribonucleoprotein particle (Ro RNP), in association with Ro60 and La proteins. The Y RNAs and Ro60 and La proteins are well conserved, but the function of the Ro RNP is not known. The record is from Rfam by way of RNAcentral. Lineage: Eukaryota; Metazoa; Chordata; Mammalia; Primates; Cheirogaleidae.
GGUUAGCCCCAGUGCAGUGGUAUUUACAAUUUAAGUGAUGACAAUCAGUUACAGAUUUGUUUUUUCCCCACUCCCACUGCUUCACUUGACUAACCUUUU